CUGAGCUAAAUCCUUGGCCCUCAAUUUGUGAUCUGUAGCUUAUAGAAAAGCCAUCAGGCAAAGAAGAAAGGAAAAUAUAAACCUAUAGAGAAUUAUACCGAAUAGCUCCAUUUAAUUAAUUAUACUAACCAAUAAUAGAAUUCAGGGGGGUAGAAUCCUUUAAUUGGUAUAUAACAUGACUAUCUCAAGGGAGAAUUUAUCUCAUUCCUCUGAGGAUAAGAGCAUAUUAUGGACAAUGUUGAGAAUCUCCAGAGUUUUCCAAUCAGAGAAAUGUACAGUCCCUGAAUCAUGUGUUCCAAUAAUAUUAUCUUACAAAAUUAAUCUAAGCAUGGCUAUAUUCUUAUUUGACACCUCUUCCCAUGAUUAUAGCAGUGCUUAGAAUAAUUUUGAAUAAAUAAUUAUAAAACAGUCUGUUUUGUGUUGCUAUAAGAAAUACCUGGGGCUUGGUACUUCAUAAAGAAAAGAGAUUUUAUUUAGCUAACUGUUCUAGAGGUUUAGUUACAUGGGGCCAGCAUCUGCUUGGCUCUUUUGAUAAUAUGAUGGUGACUGACAUCAUAGUGAUGAAUGUCAGCCAGGCUUACUUAUAACAACCUACUCUUGCAGGACUUCUACAAGAAUAAGAAUGCACCCCCAAGAAAAAAAGGAUUAAUCCUUAAAAGCUUAAUCACCUGCCACUGGACCUUACCUCUAAAUUUUCUACAAUUUCUCAACACUACCACACUGGUUAUUAUGUGGAUUCAGCUUGACAUGACUGCAGCCAGCUUGAGUUGGUAUUAUGAUUGCCUCUGAUUAACACUGAUCUAGAAUGUCCCUUGAGGCUUCAUGUGAUCGGGACUGGGGCUUUUAAAGAUGACUGGAACAUGAGGGCACCACUCAUCAGUGAAUUAAUCCAGAAAUUAGUCCAGAGGGCCUCACAGCUAAGAGUUUGCCUUGAGUCUCCAGAGGAUACUUUGAACUUGGACUUUUUAGCAAUGCUGAAACUAUUAAGAUUUUGUCAACUCUUAAAGAUAGGCUAAAUGCAUUUAGCAUAAAGAAAUGAACGUGAGUCUUUGGGGACCAGAGGUGGAAUGUUAUUGUUGAGAUCUAGAAUGUCCCUCAAAGGCCUCAUAUGUUAAGAGGUGGAGCUUUUAAAAGAUGAUUGGAUCAUGGGGUGUGUACUCAUCCAUGAGUUACCAUGGAUGGGUCCAGAGCUAGUUGGUUCUUG
Molecule: long non-coding RNA, 1204 nt
Filed under: Heterocephalus glaber (naked mole-rat)
Lineage: Eukaryota; Metazoa; Chordata; Mammalia; Rodentia; Bathyergidae
Description: lncRNA (ENSHGLG00100049707.1)
Source: RNAcentral